This 433-nucleotide ribosomal RNA is filed under the name uncultured bacterium. RNAcentral describes it as "partial 16S ribosomal RNA". It matches the Rfam family "Bacterial small subunit ribosomal RNA", at positions 29 to 507 of the family's 1533-position model. The record is from RNAcentral.
AACGAACGCUGGCGGCAUGCCUAACACAUGCAAGUCGAACGAGACCUUCGGGUCUAGUGGCGCACGGGUGCGUAACGCGUGGGAACCUGCCCUUAGGUUCGGAAUAACUCCCCGAAAGGGGUGCUAAUACCGGAUAAUGUCUUCGGACCAAAGAUUUAUCGCCUUUGGAUGGGCCCGCGUUGGAUUAGCUAGUUGGUAGGGUAAAAGCCUACCAAGGCGACGAUCCAUAGCUGGUCUGAGAGGAUGAUCAGCCACACUGGGACUGAGACACGGCCCAGACUCCUACGGGAGGCAGCAGUGGGGAAUAUUGGACAAUGGGCGAAAGCCCGAUCCAGCAAUGCCGCGUGAGUGAUGAAGGCCGUAGGGUUGUAAAGCUCUUUUACCCGGGAUGAUAAUGACAGUACCGGGAGAAUAAGCGCCGGCUAACUCCGUG